This 253-nucleotide ribosomal RNA is filed under the name uncultured bacterium. RNAcentral's name for it is "partial 16S ribosomal RNA". It matches the Rfam family "Bacterial small subunit ribosomal RNA", at positions 524 to 776 of the family's 1533-position model. The record is from RNAcentral.
GACGGAGGAGGCAAGCGUUAUCCGGAAUUAUUGGGCGUAAAGGGUACGUAGGCGGCUGGUCAAGUCUGGGGUCAAAGGCCACAGCUCAACUGUGGGAAGGCCCUGGAAACUGACCGGCUAGAGUGAGGUAGGGGUUGCGGGAAUUCCCGGUGUAGCGGUGAAAUGCGUAGAGAUCGGGAAGAACACCUGAGGCGGAAGCGUGCACCGGGGCCUCAACUGACGCUGAGGUACGAAAGCUAGGGGAGCGAAUGGG